Molecule: ribosomal RNA, 607 nt
Filed under: uncultured Lachnospiraceae bacterium
Lineage: Bacteria; Bacillati; Bacillota; Clostridia; Lachnospirales; Lachnospiraceae
Description: bacterial SSU rRNA
Rfam family: Bacterial small subunit ribosomal RNA
Source: RNAcentral
UUAACACAUGCAAGUCGAACGAAGCACCUUGAUUUGAUUCUUCGGAUGAAGAUCUUGGUGACUGAGUGGCGGACGGGUGAGUAACGCGUGGGUAACCUGCCUCAUACAGGGGGAUAACAGUUAGAAAUGACUGCUAAUACCGCAUAAGACCACAGCACCGCAUGGUGCAGGGGUAAAAACUCCGGUGGUAUGAGAUGGACCCGCGUCUGAUUAGGUAGUUGGUGGGGUAACGGCCUACCAAGCCGACGAUCAGUAGCCGACCUGAGAGGGUGACCGGCCACAUUGGGACUGAGACACGGCCCAAACUCCUACGGGAGGCAGCAGUGGGGAAUAUUGCACAAUGGGGGAAACCCUGAUGCAGCGACGCCGCGUGAGCGAUGAAGUAUUUCGGUAUGUAAAGCUCUAUCAGCAGGGAAGAAAAUGACGGUACCUGACUAAGAAGCACCGGCUAAAUACGUGCCAGCAGCCGCGGUAAUACGUAUGGUGCAAGCGUUAUCCGGAUUUACUGGGUGUAAAGGGAGCGUAGACGGAGUGGCAAGUCUGAUGUGAAAACCCGGGGCUCAACCCCGGGACUGCAUUGGAAACUGUCAAUCUAGAGUACCGGAGA